CGCGGCCUAUCAGCUUGUUGGUGGGGUAGUGGCUUACCAAGGCUUUGACGGGUAGCCGGCCUGAGAGGGUGACCGGCCACAUUGGGACUGAGAUACGGCCCAGACUCCUACGGGAGGCAGCAGUGGGGAAUAUUGCACAAUGGGCGGAAGCCUGAUGCAGCAACGCCGCGUGCGGGAUGACGGCCUUCGGGUUGUAAACCGCUUUCGCCUGUGACGAAGCGUGAGUGACGGUAAUGGGUAAAGAAGCACCGGCUAACUACGUGCCAGCAGCCGCGGUGAUACGUAGGGUGCGAGCGUUGUCCGGAUUUAUUGGGCGUAAAGGGCUCGUAGGUGGUUGAUCGCGUCGGAAGUGUAAUCUUGGGGCUUAACCCUGAGCGUGCUUUCGAUAUGGGUUGACUUGAGGAAGGUAGGGGAGAAUGGAAUUCCUGGUGGAGCGGUGGAAUGCGCAGAUAUCAGGAGGAACACCAGUGGCGAAGGCGGUUCUCUGGGCCUUUCCUGACGCUGAGGAGCGAAAGCGUGGGGAGCGAACAGGCUUAGAUACCCUGGUAGUCCACGCUGUAAACGGUGGGUACUAGGUGUGGGGUCCAUUCCACGGGUUCCGUGCCGUAGCUAACGCUUUAAGUACCCCGCCUGGGGAGUACGG
RNAcentral lists this ribosomal RNA (643 nucleotides) under uncultured bacterium. Its description in RNAcentral is "bacterial SSU rRNA". It matches the Rfam family "Bacterial small subunit ribosomal RNA", at positions 232 to 885 of the family's 1533-position model. The record is from RNAcentral.